This 495-nucleotide ribosomal RNA is filed under the name uncultured bacterium. RNAcentral describes it as "partial 16S ribosomal RNA". It matches the Rfam family "Bacterial small subunit ribosomal RNA", at positions 28 to 505 of the family's 1533-position model. The record is from RNAcentral.
GAUGAACGCUGGCGGCGUGCCUAAUACAUGCAAGUCGAGCGAACAGACGAGGAGCUUGCUCCUCUGACGUUAGCGGCGGACGGGUGAGUAACACGUGGAUAACCUACCUAUAAGACUGGGAUAACUUCGGGAAACCGGAGCUAAUACCGGAUAAUAUAUUGAACCGCAUGGUUCAAUAGUGAAAGACGGUUUUGCUGUCACUUAUAGAUGGAUCCGCGCCGCAUUAGCUAGUUGGUAAGGUAACGGCUUACCAAGGCAACGAUGCGUAGCCGACCUGAGAGGGUGAUCGGCCACACUGGAACUGAGACACGGUCCAGACUCCUACGGGAGGCAGCAGUAGGGAAUCGUCCGCAAUGGGCGAAAGCUUGACGGAGCAACGCCGCGUGAGUGAUGAAGGUCUUCGGAUCGUAAAACUCUGUUAUUAGGGAAGAACAAAUGUGUAAGUAACUAUGCACGUCUUGACGGUACCUAAUCAGAAAGCCACGGCUAACUACG